GGCGUAGGUGGCUGAUUAAGUCGGGUGUGAAAUCCCAGGGCUCAACCCUGGAACUGCAUUCGAUACUGGUUGGCUAGAGUUCGGGAGGGGGAUGCGGAAUUCCGAGUGUAGCAGUGAAAUGCGUAGAGAUUCGGAGGAACACCUGAGGCGAAGGCGGCAUCCUGGACCGAUACUGACACUGAGGCCCGAAAGCGUGGGGAGCAAACA
Molecule: ribosomal RNA, 207 nt
Filed under: uncultured bacterium
Lineage: Bacteria
Description: partial 16S ribosomal RNA
Rfam family: Bacterial small subunit ribosomal RNA
Source: RNAcentral